Hydra vulgaris (swiftwater hydra) is the source of this 837-nucleotide non-coding RNA. NCBI's taxonomy places the organism in Eukaryota, Metazoa, Cnidaria, Hydrozoa, Anthoathecata, Hydridae. The record is from RefSeq and is a predicted model, not a curated record.
AACAUAUAUGGUAAGUUAAUACAUAUCAUAUAUGGUAAGUUACUACAUGUCUAAAUAUAGAAAAUUAUGCAAGAAUAUAUGCAAUCCAUAUAGUCUAUAUUAUAGAAAUAAAAGUUCAACUAAUCCUUUACUAGUAGUAAAGGGUUAGUUGAACAAUUAUUUCUAUAAUAUAGACUAAAUGGAUGAUUUAUGGUCUUUUUUAACUUUAUAUUUUAGAUAUAUGACAUGUAGUAACAUACCAUAUUAGUUUAAAUCAGUUGUAAAAUUAAAAAUGUUAACAUCUUUGAUAGGUAUAUUUAUUUAGGUUAGUUACAGCUAAGUUUACAUGGCUAGUUAAUAUGCUUUUAUAAAUUGCAAUUUUUAUUAAUUUCCAAAUUAAACAUGUAGCAUCCAAUAUCAUAAACUAAGUUUAUACUGGUGUGUUUAUAUUAUUUUAGAAUUUUUUGUUUUAGACACAUGGCAUUUGCUAUCCCACUAAUUUGCUGCUUUAGAGGCACGGCAUUUAGUGUCACAUUGUAGGUUUAAAUUGGUUGUAGAAUUUAUAUUGUAACUUGCAUAUUUAUUUAGUUGAGUUUAAUCUAAGUUUAUAUUUGAUGUGUUUGUAUUAUUUUAGAAUUUACUGUUUUAGACACGUGACAUGUGGUAUCUCACUAUAAGUUUGAAUUAGUAAACUUAAAAAAAAUUAUAUAUUUUAACUUGCAUUUCUUUUGACGUUCAUGUUUAUAUAAUUAGAUUACAACUAAGUUUGUGUAUGGCUUGUUUAUAUUAUUUCAGAAUUUGCUAUUUUAGACACUUGGUAUAAGCUGUCAUACUAAUUUGCUGUUUUAGACACGUGAC